GACGAACGCUGGCGGCGUGCUUAACACAUGCAAGUCGAACGGAAAGGCCCUGCUUUUGUGGGGUGCUCGAGUGGCGAACGGGUGAGUAACACGUGAGUAACCUGCCCUUGACUUUGGGAUAACUUUAGGAAACGGGGGCUAAUACCGGAUGGGAGCUCCUGUUGCAUGGUGGGGGUUGGAAAGUUUCGGCGGUUGGGGAUGGACUCGCGGCUGAGUAGCUUGUUGGGGGGGUAGUGGCAUACCAAGGCUUUGACGGGUAGACGGCCUGGGAGGGUGACCGGGCACAUUACGCCUACGGUACGGCCCAGACUCCUACGGGCGGCAGCGGUGGGGAGUCUUGCACAGUGGGCGGAAGCCAGAUACAGCAGCGCCGCGUUCGGAAUGACGGGUUGCGGGUUAUGAACCGCUGUCACCUGUGACGAAGCGUGAGUGACGGGAAUGUGUAAAGAAGCACCGGCUAACUACGUG
This 468-nucleotide ribosomal RNA is filed under the name uncultured bacterium. Its description in RNAcentral is "partial 16S ribosomal RNA". It matches the Rfam family "Bacterial small subunit ribosomal RNA", at positions 28 to 507 of the family's 1533-position model. The record is from RNAcentral.